GCGUGCGCCGUACGCCCUGGCCCCGGUACCUGAUACGGCCGGGGGCAG
Molecule: non-coding RNA, 48 nt
Filed under: Phaeacidiphilus oryzae TH49
Lineage: Bacteria; Bacillati; Actinomycetota; Actinomycetes; Kitasatosporales; Streptomycetaceae
Description: L17-Actino-Proteobacteria ribosomal protein leader
Rfam family: L17-Actino-Proteobacteria ribosomal protein leader
Source: RNAcentral